CAGUCGCCGCGGUAAUGCGUAGGGUGCGAGCGUUAAUCGGAAUUACUGGGCGUAAAGCGUGCGCAGGCGGUUGUGUAAGACAGGUGUGAAAUCCCCGGGCUUAACCUGGGAACUGCGCUUGUGACUGCACAGCUAGAGUAUGGCAGAGGGGGGUGGAAUUCCACGUGUAGCAGUGAAAUGCGUAGAGAUGUGGAGGAACACCGAUGGCGAAGGCAGCCCCCUGGGCCAAUACUGACGCUCAUGCACGAAAGCGUGGGGAGCAAACAGGAUUAGAUACCCCCGUAGUCCCUGUCUCUUAUAC
Molecule: ribosomal RNA, 301 nt
Filed under: uncultured bacterium
Lineage: Bacteria
Description: partial 16S ribosomal RNA
Rfam family: Bacterial small subunit ribosomal RNA
Source: RNAcentral